UGUGCACUUUGCUCUCCACAUUCUCAAAACCUGUUCCACUCACCUGAGAGAGAAGCCUUGGAAAGAGACCUAGUACUUCCUCUGCUCUGCAAAGACUAUUGCAAAGAAUUCUUUUACACUUGCCGAGGCCAUAUUCCAGGUUUCCUUCAAACAACUGCGGAUGAGUUUUGCUUUUACUAUGCAAGAAAAGAUGGUGGGUUGUGCUUUCCAGAUUUUCCAAGAAAACAAGUCAGAGGACCAGCAUCUAACUACUUGGACCAGAUGGAAGAAUAUGACAAAGUGGAAGAGAUCAGCAGAAAGCACAAACACAACUGCUUCUGUAUUCAGGAGGUUGUGAGUGGGCUGCGGCAGCCCGUUGGUGCCCUGCAUAGUGGGGAUGGCUCGCACCGUCUCUUCAUUCUGGAAAAAGAAGGUUAUGUGAAGAUACUUACCCCUGAAGGAGAAAUUUUCAAGGAGCCUUAUUUGGACAUUCACAAACUUGUUCAAAGUGGAAUAAAGGACCUUCUCAUCCUUUUCAUCAUCAAGAAAAUCAGGUGGCUGUCACUAUAGACAACUA
Molecule: small RNA, 556 nt
Filed under: Pongo abelii (Sumatran orangutan)
Lineage: Eukaryota; Metazoa; Chordata; Mammalia; Primates; Hominidae
Description: processed transcript
Source: RNAcentral